UAGUACGCAAGGAAUGGUCUCAGCGAUGCUCGACUAUAUUGGCCCCAUCGACGUAAUCAACUUCUGGCUGCUGCAAAGAAGGAGAACAAAAGGUUUUGGGAUUAAUAAGGUGCCACGGAAGUGGCGCACCUUCUCAGGUGCCAUGUGGGUGCAUAGCCCCUGGCACCCUAUGGAAUUAACACUAGGGCUCAUCAUACUAAUAGUGUUGACGUAUGGAUUAAAGGCCCCAACUCUAAGAUUAGCAACAUUCUGUUUAGGAGUUAUAUUACUUCUGAGUGCUGCUGGGUUAUUAGCUGAACCCCAUCUGCUAUGUUGGACACAGGCUAUUAAGAUGUUGGUGAUGCUAAGUGGGUUAGCCAUACUAUGUAUGCUGGACCAUCGAACAUCGCAUCGAUCAAGCUCUUUAUUGAUUUUAUUAGUGAUCUUAGGUAAUUUAUUACUUAUUGGAUCAACAAAUUUAAUUUCGAUAUAUUUAGCAUUAGAAAUGCAAACAUUAUGUAUGUUUAUCUUAGUGGCUUAUAAUAAAAACUCAUUAUUAUCAGCAGAAGCUGGGUUGAAAUACUUCGUGUUAGGGGCACUAUCUUCGGGGUUGUUCCUGUUUGGUUGUGCCUUAAUUUAUGGCUCCACAGGAGAGCUGGAACUUCAAUUUAUUCGUAUGAGUGUAAUAUCUUAUGGAGCAUUAGCUGGUAAGUGUCUUAUUACUGUCU
RNAcentral lists this ribosomal RNA (707 nucleotides) under Briareum sp. MUFS:COMO17. RNAcentral's name for it is "partial 16S ribosomal RNA". Lineage: Eukaryota; Metazoa; Cnidaria; Anthozoa; Scleralcyonacea; Briareidae. The record is from RNAcentral.